RNAcentral lists this ribosomal RNA (493 nucleotides) under Thymogethes nigritus. RNAcentral's name for it is "partial 16S ribosomal RNA". The record is from RNAcentral. Lineage: Eukaryota; Metazoa; Arthropoda; Insecta; Coleoptera; Nitidulidae.
CAUGUCCUUUUGAUAAUAAAAUUUAAGGUCUAACCUGCCCAAUGAUAAAAUAUUUAAUGGCCGCGGUACUUUGACCGUGCAAAGGUAGCAUAAUCAUUAGUUUUUUAAUUGAAAGCUGGAAUGAAGGGUUGAAUGAGAAAAUUACUGUCUUUAUUAUAUUUAAUUAAAAUUUUAUUUUUAAGUUAAAAAGCUUAAAUUUUAUUUAUAGACGAGAAGACCCUUUAGAGUUUUAUAAAUACUUAUUUAAAAUUUUUUAGGAUUAAUUUAAUUUUUAAAUUAGUUAUUUAUUUGAUUGGGGUGAUUGAAAAAUUUAAAUAACUUUUUUUUUUAUUUUACAUUUAUAUAUGAAUAAUUGAUCCAUUAAUUAUGAUUAUAAGAUUAAAUUACCUAAGGGAUAACAGCGUUAUUUUUUUUGAGAGUUCUAAUCGAAAAAAAAGUUUGCGACCUCGAUGUUGGAUUAAAAUUAAAUUAUGGUGUAGAGGCUAUAAUCGUA